RNAcentral lists this small RNA (725 nucleotides) under Malus domestica (apple). RNAcentral describes it as "sRNA MD12G0096400". Lineage: Eukaryota; Viridiplantae; Streptophyta; Magnoliopsida; Rosales; Rosaceae. The record is from RNAcentral.
UUGUAUUCAUAUAAGGUCAAGGAGUGUAGUUGUAAAAAAUCAUCAAAAUCGGAGUCAAAUUAACCGUUAAAUCGUGAUUUUUCGUUUAUAACCGUCGAAAAGUUUUGUCCCGUUACGUGAUCUCUGAAUGUUUGUUUUUUGCAAUUUUUGGCGUAUGCGAUCUUGAAGUAUAUACAAACAUGUUUGACGGUUGGAUCAUUGAAACUAGUUUCGUAGAAUGAGUAUCCCAUCAAAACAAUAGAUUCACUAAUACGUAAUAGUUUAUUCAUACUUUUAUUAAGUAUAAUAUAAGAUUUUGUGGUUUCCACUAGUGUAAAUAUUUUAAAUUGAAGAUCGAAUUCAAUCAUUGUAUUCAUAUAAGGUCAAGGAGUGUAGCUGCAAAAAAAUCAUCAAAAUCAGAGUUAAAAUGACCGUUAAAUCGGUCAAGGAGUGUAGUUGUAAAAAAUCAUCAAAAAUCGGAGUUAAAAUGACCGUUAAAUCGUGAUUUUUCGUUUAUAACCGUCGAAAAGUUUUGUCCCGUUACUUGAUCUCUGAAUGUUUGUUUUUUGCAAUUUUUGGCGUAUGCAAUCUCGAAGUAUAUAUAAACAUGUUUGACAGGUUGGAUCAUUGAAACUAGUUUCGUAGAAUGAGUAUCCCAUCAAAACAAUAGAUUCACUAAUACUUUAAUAGUUUAUUCAUACUUUUAUUAAGUAUAGUAUAAGAUUUUGUGGUAUCCACUAGUGUAA